AUGAGCGACAAUCUCAUGGACAAAGUUAACGCCCUGGGCGAGCGCCUCAAGAUCAGCGGCGCGGAAGUCAGCCGCAAGAUGUCCACCGGCGUCACUAGCAUGAGUUUCAAGAUGAAGGAGUUCUUCCAAGGCCAGAACAUGGCCGACAAGAUUGUUGACGAGGCCACCUUGGAGACCAUGGACGGCCCUGAUUGGGCUACCAAUCUUGAGAUAUGCGAUAUGGCCAACACCGAGAGGGUCAACAGCGUCGAGCUCAUCCGCGCCAUCAAGAGGCGAAUCAUGCUCAAGAGCCCGAGGGUGCAGUAUCUGGCUCUUGUCCUCCUCGAGACCAUUGUCAAGAACUGCGAGAAGGCUUUCUCCGAGAUUGCUGCGGAGCGGGUCCUUGAUGAAAUGAGCUUAAGAUCUAGGGGAAUUCGCUUCCCUGGCCGCGAUGAUGAGAGCCUUGCGCCAAUAUUUACUCCUCCCCGUUCAGUACCUGCAGCUGAACCAUAUUCUGAUGCAGCACAGGAAGGGUAUCAAGAAAUUCCAGAUGAAAGUUUUGCUCCAGUCCGUGCUGCCCCUUCUGUACAAGUCGACGAGGCUUUUGAGGUGGCUCGCAAUAGCGUUGAACUUCUGUCCACAGUGCUAUCAUCAUCUCCACAAAAAGAGGCUCUAGAGCAUUUUUUACAUUUUAAUCUUAAUAGUAAAUACAGCAACAAUGGCCCUGGCCAAUCAACCUGUUAUCCCUUAUUACCUCAUCACAGUCUCGGUGCAGAGCAGUAUCUGAAAGAUGACUUGACUACCACCCUGGUCCAGCAAUGCCAACAGUGUCAAUACACAAUCCAGAGAAUCGUCGAGACUGCAGGUGAUAACGAGGCUCAACUCUUCGAGGCACUGAGCAUCCACGAUGAACUCCAGAAAGUUCUGUCCAAGUACGAAGACCUCAAGGAGCCCAUCGUCGCAGAGCCUGAGCCAGAACCAGCAAUGAUUCCAGUCACGGUGGAGCCUGAGGAAUCCCCACGCGCUGUUGGCAAAGACACCCCCGCAAGGAAAUCAGCUGGGUCCGGUGGUCGCUCUAGUGGCGGGGAUGACUUGCUUCAGGAUCUCGACGACAUGAUCUUCGGUAAGAAAGCCGGCACCUCCUCCCAGCAGGAAAGGACUCCCCGGAAGGAGAAGAAGGACGAUUUCAUCGGCUUGUGA
This 1179-nucleotide ribosomal RNA is filed under the name Triticum aestivum (bread wheat). RNAcentral's name for it is "partial small subunit ribosomal RNA". The record is from RNAcentral. Lineage: Eukaryota; Viridiplantae; Streptophyta; Magnoliopsida; Poales; Poaceae.